RNAcentral lists this transfer RNA (73 nucleotides) under Camelus bactrianus (Bactrian camel). It matches the Rfam family "tRNA". From Rfam's summary of the family: Transfer RNA (tRNA) molecules are approximately 80 nucleotides in length. Their secondary structure includes four short double-helical elements and three loops (D, anti-codon, and T loops). Lineage: Eukaryota; Metazoa; Chordata; Mammalia; Artiodactyla; Camelidae. RNAcentral also lists the same sequence under 3 other names. The record is from Rfam by way of RNAcentral.
GAGGGUAUAGCUCAAUUGGUAGAGUGCAUGCUUAGCAUGCACAAGGUUUUGGGUUCAAUCCCCAGUACCUCUG